GACGAACGCUGGCGGCGUGCUUAACACAUGCAAGUCGAACGGAAAGGCCUCUUUCGGGGGGUACUCGAGUGGCGAACGGGUGAGUAACACGUGAGUAACCUGCCCUUGACUUUGGGAUAACUUCAGGAAACUGGGGCUAAUACCGGAUAGGAGCUCCUGCUGCAUGGUGGGGGUUGGAAAGUUUCGGCGGUUGGGGAUGGAUUCGCGGCUUAUCAGCUUGUUGGUGGGGUAGUGGCUUACCAAGGCGUUGACGGGUAGCCGGCCUGAGAGGGUGAUCGGCCACAGUGGGACUGAGAGACGGCCCAGACUCCGACGGGAGGCAGCAGUGGGGAAUAUUGCACAAGGGGUGGAAGCCUGAUGCAGCAACGCCGGGGGCGGGAAGACGGCCUUCGGGUUGUAAACCGCUUUCGCUCAUGACGAAGCUUUGUGUGACGGUAGUGGGUAAAGAAGCACCGGCUAACUACGUG
Molecule: ribosomal RNA, 467 nt
Filed under: uncultured bacterium
Lineage: Bacteria
Description: partial 16S ribosomal RNA
Rfam family: Bacterial small subunit ribosomal RNA
Source: RNAcentral